RNAcentral lists this ribosomal RNA (201 nucleotides) under uncultured bacterium. Its description in RNAcentral is "partial 16S ribosomal RNA". It matches the Rfam family "Bacterial small subunit ribosomal RNA", at positions 328 to 539 of the family's 1533-position model. The record is from RNAcentral.
ACGCUCGACACCUACGGGGGGCAGCAGUGGGGAAUAUUGGGCAAUGGAGGCAACUCUGACCCAGCAACGCCGCGUGAGUGAUGAAGGUCUUCGGAUUGUAAAACUCUUUAAGUAGGGACGAAGAAAGUGACGGUACCUACAGAAUAAGCCUCGGCUAACUACGUGGCAGCAGCCGCGGUAAUCUGAGCGGGCUGGCAAGGC